GACGAACGCUGGCGGCGUGCUUAACACAUGCAAGUCGAACGGAAAGUCCCUGCUUUUUUGGGGUGCUCGAGUGGCGAACGGGUGAUUAACACGUUAGUAACCUGCCCUUGACUUUGGGAUAUCUUCAUGAAACUGGGUCUAAUACCUGAUAGGAGCUCCUGCUGCAUGGUGGGGGUUGGAUAGUUUCGGCGGUUGGGGAUGGACUCGCGGCUUAUCAGCUUGUUGGUGGGGUAGUGGCUUACCAAGGCUUUGACGGGUAGCCGGCCUGAGAGGGUCACCGGCCACAUUGGGACUGAGAUACGGCCCAGACUACUACGGGAGGCAGCAGUGGGGAAUAGUACACAAUGGGCGGAAGCCUGAUGCAGCAACGCAGCGUGCGGGAUGACGGCAUUCGGGUUGUGAAGCGCAUUCGCCUGUGACGAAGAGAGAGUGACGGUAAUGGGUAAAGAAGCACCGGCUAACUACGUG
RNAcentral lists this ribosomal RNA (468 nucleotides) under uncultured bacterium. RNAcentral's name for it is "partial 16S ribosomal RNA". It matches the Rfam family "Bacterial small subunit ribosomal RNA", at positions 28 to 507 of the family's 1533-position model. The record is from RNAcentral.